CCUACGGGGGGCAGCAGUGGGGAAUAUUGGACAAUGGGCGAAAGCCUGAUCCAGCCAUGCCGCGUGUGUGAAGAAGGCCUUCGGGUUGUAAAGCACUUUCAGUGGGGAAGAAAGCCUUGGGGCUAAUACCCUCGAGGAAGGACAUCACCCACAGAAGAAGCACCGGCUAACUCCGUGCCAGCAGCCGCGGUAAUACGGAGGGUGCGAGCGUUAAUCGGAAUUACUGGGCGUAAAGCGCGCGUAGGCGGUCUGAUAAGCCGGUUGUGAAAGCCCCGGGCUCAACCUGGGAACGGCAUCCGGAACUGUCAGGCUAGAGUGCAGGAGAGGAAGGUAGAAUUCCCGGUGUAGCGGUGAAAUGCGUAGAGAUCGGGAGGAAUACCAGUGGCGAAGGCGGCCUUCUGGUCUGACACUGACGCUGAGGUGCGAAAGCGUGGGUAGCAAACAGGAUUAGAUACCCCUGUAGUC
This 465-nucleotide ribosomal RNA is filed under the name Vreelandella stevensii. RNAcentral's name for it is "partial 16S ribosomal RNA". It matches the Rfam family "Bacterial small subunit ribosomal RNA", at positions 338 to 795 of the family's 1533-position model. The record is from RNAcentral. Lineage: Bacteria; Pseudomonadati; Pseudomonadota; Gammaproteobacteria; Oceanospirillales; Halomonadaceae.